Long non-coding RNA from Hippoglossus stenolepis (Pacific halibut), 1708 nucleotides. RefSeq lists it as uncharacterized. The transcript has 5 exons. The record is from RefSeq and is a predicted model, not a curated record. NCBI's taxonomy places the organism in Eukaryota, Metazoa, Chordata, Actinopteri, Pleuronectiformes, Pleuronectidae.
GUGAAAGAGACCUAGGGCUUGGACAAAACGUCUAGAGCCACAGCAUUCCUAGCUGGCUCUCCCCUUGAACACUGAGCAGAAGGCUGGGGCUGAAGGAGGCAGAGUGGAGGGGAAAGGCAGGCUGGAGAGGGAGAGCCGGGCAUGGGGUACAGCAGCUAAGAGGCCGGGGGGUUAGGAGGCUGCAGGCCUGGCGAGGCUGGGGGGCAAAAAGUGAGAAGGUGGCAUGGCGGGAGGGCACGGGAGCCUGGCUAAGGUGGGAGUAAGGUGAGGGAGAUGGAGGCCGCGGUGAAGAUAGAGCUGGGAGAGGGAUACGAGGCUGAAGGAGGGAUGAAGAAGGUAGAGGAAGAGGAGGCCAGGUGGAGAACACAAGACGAACUGAGGACUGGGAGAAAGAGUCAGAAACAGACAGAGUGUAUGUUUCUUUUCCUGUGUAGAAAUACUGCUUGAGUGUCGGAAAAGAUUUGAAGAAGUCGUCUGAAACCGGUUCAGGUGCAGAAACUAAACAGAGACAGGCAGCGAGAGAAUCAGAGAAAAACCAGAGAAAAUCUCUUUCCAGCUCCAGGAGUCUGUUUUCCUUUUCCUGCCAAGGAUGUAACACUGGUUUGGACAGUGGGGCAACGUCCAAUCAGACAACAGCACUGGAGGCCUUGUCAUAAUGACAAGCGUGACAUCACUGCAAGGGCGAGCGGAGAGAAGACAGCGGAGCUCCAGACAGGCAGCGGGGCACCGCGGCGCCGCGCGGCCGCCACGGCGCGCCGGCUGCCGGAUCCAAAACGCGCGGACUACCGCGGGGGCUGGCGGAGGAGAGGACGCGGAGGGUUGGACUGUUUCGCGGCCGGCGCACGGAGCACCGCGCCCCGGGCGGACUGGGGCUGGUUCACCGGGGGAGGAAGCGACGGGAAGAUGUGGAGGAUUGAAGGAAAACGGCUUCUUGUUUUAUUUCAACACGAGAGGAAGACAACUCCCAAACUGGCAUGAUGUAACAGGAGAGAAGAUGGAAUCAAGAGACCAGGACGUUGGAUGAACCGGAUGGCAAGUGGGGACUGAGGAGCAGUAAUCUCCACUGUUCAAUUAGCUGCAGGAACCAGGCCCACGCCACCUACACUUCCUGACCACAGGGGGAAAGGUGAUCGUGAUGGUGGAACGUCCAACCGGGAGGAACACAAGAGCUGGAGAAGAUGCUGAUGCUGUGACUUCACACACACACACACACACACACACACACACACACACACACACACACACACACACACACACACACAGGCUGCAGUAUGAACCAGUUCCAGGUGAAUCAAACUGAAUUAAAGUGAAUUGAUCUGAACCUGAAUGGUUUCAGUUGGACGGGCACCAGGACACUUGACUCUACCUGCUGUUCUUGGCUCUUUAUGUUUUAUUUUCACCGUCGGGCCUCAGAACUGCUUGUUCCUCUCAUGUCUGUGUGGGUUUUAUCCAGCUGACACCGGGUCGUCGGCGGGUUGAUCCCCGGCUCGUCUAGGCCACUUGCCAAACUGUCCUGGGGCAAGAUAGUGAACCCCAAACAGACUGAGGGCUGUGUGUUAAUCUACAGUUGUAUUAAUCUAUAUUAAUCUGUUCAGAGCCAGAAGAAGCUGCAACAUGUUUCUGUUUUGUUCUUUUUUUUUAAAGCUGGAAAAUAAAGCACCUUGUUCUUUUAUACAUAUUAAAUAAAGAUGAAAUGAAACCAGACAAA